Non-coding RNA from Podiceps cristatus (great crested grebe), 92 nucleotides. Lineage: Eukaryota; Metazoa; Chordata; Aves; Podicipediformes; Podicipedidae. The record is from Rfam.
UGGUGAUGAUGUCUGAACUCACGAUGGUCUUCAGAGCCUCUGCUGAUGAGGGGGCUGCUGACAGUGCCAGUGGCAAUCGCUGAACCGUAGGC